Molecule: long non-coding RNA, 609 nt
Organism: Phragmites australis (common reed)
Lineage: Eukaryota; Viridiplantae; Streptophyta; Magnoliopsida; Poales; Poaceae
Exons: 2
Source: RefSeq, a predicted model, not a curated record
GGCUCAACUUCAUGUCCGCGACGGCUCGGCUGGCCCAUACGUCCGCUCUCUCCCGCUAAUCGUCUCGAUCGAUCGGCCUGCACCUUCUCUCUCUCUCCACCUUGUCUCUUUGAUCCAAUCCAGAGGCCAGGCCAUCUCUUCCAAUCCCCGUGCCGACCAUCGCCGUGCGCCCCCACGACCCUGCCCGCCGCCGUCGCCUUCACCUCCCGCUCCGGCAUCUCCGCCUUCUCGCGCGCCCUCCCUUCCUCCCGCUACCUCCUCUCCGAUCCACGGCCAUGUGCAUCCCUAAGCUGUGGCCUGAGGCAGUUGUCCUAUCCACCGCUAUCCGGCCUUGAUUCAGGUCGCCAAGUCCUCUCUCACAAGCCGAUUCGAGGAAGCUGGAGUGCAGCUCAGGGCACUUGUUCGACGAAAUGCCAGGAAGAAGUCCAAGCUGUACCACCUACAUGGUCGCGCUGGUGUGCAGCUCCACUGGGCUGUUUAGCUGAUGGUCUGCUAGUGUUUAGUCGCUGGCUGUUCAUGUAGACAAUUCCUAUCUAUAUGCAAUGCUUUUGGAUAUUAUUUGUUAAGUAAUUGCUAUGUGAUUUGUAAAGUAUUUUAUAUUGUCAUGCC